AUUUGUUUGAUGCAAUGAGAAGAAAUAAAGAGAGCGACUGAUCGUAACGAGGACGAAAAAGUGUCACAAGGACUUUCAGCGUUUGGGCUAUAAGAGUCAGAAGAUCGCAAUUUCCUCCUAAAAGAAGCAUGAAGGCCAACGAGUUUCUGAGUUGGACAAAGAUGAACAACCCAUGACCGAGUCUGCAUCCACCUCAUCAGGGCAGUUUGAGUUCCCACCACUUACAAGUGCUGAUGCAACAUAAGCUUGGAAGACUUCGCAUGGAUGCAGUUGUGUGACCUCAAGUAUGCAAGAAUCCAGGAGAGCAGAAAGCAGGUAAGAUGAUUUUAAUUUCAUCAAAGUAAAAGAUAUAAACAGAAAGCAGUCUUGCAUGGAGAUGUUCCCAACAUAGUUUUAACUUCGAGCACUGAGGAGUGCUCGAGUGAAACAUAA
Long non-coding RNA from Nerophis ophidion (straightnose pipefish), 432 nucleotides. RefSeq lists it as uncharacterized. The record is from RefSeq and is a predicted model, not a curated record. The transcript has 3 exons. Lineage: Eukaryota; Metazoa; Chordata; Actinopteri; Syngnathiformes; Syngnathidae.